UGCUGACAGCCUUUUAGAUUUUCUCAGAUGAGCUUUUAAACAUUUUCAAGACUUAAAAACUGGCUCACAGUGAGAAACAAAUUCCACAGUUCACAUGCUAAGCAUCCGCCAACUCCAUAUUCACAUUUUUCUGCAGUGUUUUAUGUAAUCUCCUGACUAAGUGUUGAUCGUUGUUCCUCCUUCCACCCUCCGCAUGGUGUAGUGUCCCACGUGCUCCUGGAAUGUUGUGUAGCAACUGAUACAAAGGCUUCUAUUGUAUGAAGUUGGGGAAGCUAGCAUCUCUAGCUGGACAAUAUGCUGCUGGGAGGUUAUUAAGAUAGCUUGAAACAUUUACUAAAGGGAAAAAAUGAACAGAGGAUUCAUGACUGAAAUAAAUUUCCAAAGAGACAUUACUUAUAUUUAUUAUACUCUUAAGGAUUGAACUAUGUCUGAAACAUUAAGACCAAAGCAGUAAUUGGCAUCUGGCUACUUUUACAAAGUUAUGGCUAUUUUCUAAAACACAUAAGUAAAAAUUAAUACAGCUAUUAUCUGGGUGGAGAGGGACGAUACAUAGUGAAAUGAAAUUACAAUGUAUGGGAGGGUCACAGCUCUGCAGAUGGGCCCACACUGUUCUGCAUUGUGCUAAUAGGGAGCUACAGCCCCUUUACUGCCCCAUCGUCAGGAGAUCCACUCUUGUUUAGGCACAGGACCCACGGGAUUUAAAUGUAACUAUGACAUGGAGGAUGGAACAGGUCUUACAGAUCAGAAUUCAAAAAUGAGCAUGAUCACACACACUUCCCAGCCAGGGAAAUUUCUGCGAGGUUAACUCUGUGCUUUAAUAGGCUACUACUGUGCUUUGGUAGGUCACUGCUGUUUUCUGCAAAACAGGGUGAUGCAAGUUCCUGGCCACACCCACAUGAUGAAAAUCCAGCGAAACUUUUCCUCUGUGUUGAAACAUCGAUGUGGAGAAACUUUUCCAGGCCCGGGAGGGUGGGGUGUGGGGCUGCACCGCGUGCCACAGGUUGCAGGCAAGCUGUGCAGACCUGAAGAAGUGCCAUUGCUUUGUUCCUCACACCUCAGCCAACCAAACGGGUGAUUGAAUGAGAAGCAGAGAUAAGUGAGUCCUCCGCUGCAUUAGUGAAAUCAUGUUUGCCUCUUUGUGUUCUAAAUUUUCCCAACCGCCCUCAAUUAUACAUAAAAGUAAAAUAAAAAUUCACAGUUGGCUGGAUGCCCCCUGCAGACCUGAGCUGGCGUUAUGGUCACUGCCGUGUCGCAUUAGUUACUCUUGGUUAACCCAGUGAAUACUGUAUUGAGCCCUGUCCUUGUUUGUCUGCAUUCCCUACAGUGGAUGAAUGAGGAGGGGUUACUGUGUGUACAGAAGGUGCC
RNAcentral lists this long non-coding RNA (1365 nucleotides) under Pavo cristatus (Indian peafowl). Its description in RNAcentral is "lncRNA (ENSPSTG00000016920.1)". The record is from RNAcentral. Lineage: Eukaryota; Metazoa; Chordata; Aves; Galliformes; Phasianidae.